GGUUAAGUCCCGCAACGAGCGCAACCUCGACCUUAGUUGCCAGCAUUCAGUUGGGCACUCUAAGGUGACUGCCGGCUAAAAGUCGGAGGAAGGUGGGGAUGACGUCAAAUCAUCAUGCCCCUUAUGACCUGGGCUACACACGUGCUACAAUGGGCGGUACAAAGGGUCGCGAACCCGCGAGGGGGAGCCAAUCCCAAAAAGCCGCUCUCAGUUCGGAUUGCAGGCUGCAACUCGCCUGCAUGAAGCCGGAAUCGCUAGUAAUCGCGGAUCAGCAUGCCGCGGUGAAUACGUUCCCGGGCCUU
This 302-nucleotide ribosomal RNA is filed under the name uncultured Anoxybacillus sp. RNAcentral describes it as "bacterial SSU rRNA". It matches the Rfam family "Bacterial small subunit ribosomal RNA", at positions 1078 to 1382 of the family's 1533-position model. Lineage: Bacteria; Bacillati; Bacillota; Bacilli; Caryophanales; Anoxybacillaceae. The record is from RNAcentral.